GGACGAACGCUGGCGGCGUGCCUAACACAUGCAAGUCGAACGAGAAUCGAUGGAUUGCGGCUUCGGCCAAAUGAAGUUGAGGAAAGUGGCGAACGGGUGAGUAACGCGUGAGAAACCUGCCUUUCAGUGGGGGACAACAGUUGGAAACGACUGCUAAUACCGCAUGACGCAUUCGGGUCGCAUGGCCUGAAUGCCAAAGAUUUUAUCGCUGAAAGAUGGCCUCGCGUCUGAUUAGCUAGUUGGUGAGGUAACGGCCCACCAAGGCGACGAUCAGUAGCCGGACUGAGAGGUUGACCGGCCACAUUGGGACUGAGAUACGGCCCAGACUCCUACGGGAGGCAGCAGUGGGGAAUAUUGGGCAAUGGACGCAAGUCUGACCCAGCAACGCCGCGUGAAGGAAGAAGGCUUUCGGGUUGUAAACUUCUUUUAAGGGGGAAGAGUAGAAGACGGUACCCCUUGAAUAAGCCACGGCUAACUACGUG
This 482-nucleotide ribosomal RNA is filed under the name uncultured bacterium. Its description in RNAcentral is "bacterial SSU rRNA". It matches the Rfam family "Bacterial small subunit ribosomal RNA", at positions 27 to 507 of the family's 1533-position model. The record is from RNAcentral.